This 287-nucleotide small nuclear RNA is filed under the name Castor canadensis (American beaver). RNAcentral describes it as "7SK RNA (ENSCCNG00000007164.1)". It matches the Rfam family "7SK RNA". Rfam says of the family: 7SK was discovered as an abundant small nuclear RNA in the mid-70s but a possible function has only recently been suggested. Two independent studies have found that 7SK RNA binds the CDK9/cyclin T complex (known as elongation factor P-TEFb). The record is from RNAcentral. Lineage: Eukaryota; Metazoa; Chordata; Mammalia; Rodentia; Castoridae.
GGAUGGUGAGCGAUCUGGCUGUGACAUCUGUCACUCAAUUGAUCACCAGGGUUGAUUCCACUGAUCUGAUUGGUGUUCCCUUCUUCCCUCACUGCUCCAUGUGUGUCCCUCCUGAAGCUGUGUGCUCAGUCCAAGAGGGCAACAAUCCCCAAUAGAGGAGAACUAUACAAGUAGCUCUGCUCCCCUACUAGAACCUCCAAGCAAGUUCUCAAGGUCCAAGAUGGAAUUCUACCAAGAGAUGCUCUUUGACUGAGAGCAAUUUCCAGAGAAGACCUCUGUUGGGGGCU